UUUGAUUAUGGCUCACGGCGAACGCUGGCGGCGUGCUUAACACAUGCAAGUCGAGCGGUGACCCUCGGAGCUUGCUUCGGGGUGAACAGUGGCGAACGGGUGAGUAACACGUGAGUAACCUGCCCCUGACUCUGGAAUAAGCGCUGGAAACGGCGUCUAAGACCGGAUACGACACGCCUCCGCAUGGGGAGCGUGUGGAAAGUUUUUCGGUCUGGGAUGGACUCGCGGCCUAUCAGCUUGUUGGUGAGGUAAUGGCUCACCAAGGCGAUGACGGGUAGCCGGCCUGAGAGGGCGACCGGCCACACUGGGACUGAGACACGGCCCAGACUCCUACGGGAGGCAGCAGUGGGGAAUAUUGCACAAUGGGCGAAAGCCUGAUGCAGCGACGCCGCGUGAGGGAUGACGGCCUUCGGGUUGUAAACCUCUUUCAGCAGGGAAGAAGCGAAAGUGACGGUACCUGCAGAAGAAGCACCGGCUAACUACGUGCCAGCAGCCGCGGUAAUACGUAGGGUGCGAGCGUUGUCCGGAAUUAUUGGGCGUAAAGAGCUUGUAGGCGGUUUGUCGCGUCUGCCGUGAAAAUCCGGGGCUCAACCCCGGACUUGCGGUGGGUACGGGCAGACUAGAGUGUGGUAGGGGAGACUGGAAUUCCUGGUGUAGCGGUGAAAUGCGCAGAUAUCAGGAGGAACACCGAUGGCGAAGGCAGGUCUCUGGGCCACUACUGACGCUGAGAAGCGAAAGCAUGGGGAGCGAACAGGAUUAGAUACCUGGUAGUCAAUGCCGUAAACGUUGGUUGUUAAGGGUCGGACUCUUUCCACUUAUUUCCUGGCCGAAGAUGACGCAUUAAGCGCCGCGCCUGUGGAUUACGGGCGCAAGGUUAAAACUGAAAGGAAUUGACGGGGGCCCUUACAAACUGCUGACCAUGUGGAUUAAUUGGAUGCAACGCUAAGAACCUUACCAAGGGUUGACAUAUACCGGAAACAUAUGGAGACUGGUGUCCCGCAAGGAUUGCCUACAGGUGGAGCAUGGUUGUCGUCAGCUCAUGCCAUGCCAUGUUGCUUUAAACACCGUACCCAUCGCAACCCUUGUUCUAUGUUGCCAGCACGUGAUGGUGGGGACUUAUUUACAACUGCCGGGGCAAACUCCUAAGAAGGUGGUGAUCAGGUCAACUCAUCAUACCCCUUAUGUCUCUCGCUUGACACAUGCUACAAUGGCCUGUACAAAGGACUGCGACACCGUGAGGUGUAACGAAUCCC
Molecule: ribosomal RNA, 1253 nt
Filed under: Knoellia flava
Lineage: Bacteria; Bacillati; Actinomycetota; Actinomycetes; Micrococcales; Intrasporangiaceae
Description: bacterial SSU rRNA
Rfam family: Bacterial small subunit ribosomal RNA
Source: RNAcentral